This 81-nucleotide non-coding RNA is filed under the name Bacillus massilioanorexius. RNAcentral describes it as "Cyclic di-GMP-I riboswitch". It matches the Rfam family "c-di-GMP-I riboswitch aptamer". Rfam says of the family: GEMM was predicted in a large-scale screen for bacterial structured RNA regulatory elements. Genes associated with GEMM are involved in a diverse array of functions, including chemotaxis regulation, signal transduction, secretion and chitin. Lineage: Bacteria; Bacillati; Bacillota; Bacilli; Caryophanales; Bacillaceae. The record is from RNAcentral.
AGAUAAAGGCAAAUUCAUUGAAAGAUGAAGACGCAAAACUAUAGGGACUAAAGUCAUUUGACAAUGUCAGCCAGUUACCGA